This 100-nucleotide small RNA is filed under the name Marinobacter lutaoensis. RNAcentral's name for it is "Guanidine-I sequence". It matches the Rfam family "Guanidine-I riboswitch aptamer". From Rfam's summary of the family: This family represents a conserved RNA structure found upstream of the ykkC and yxkD genes in Bacillus subtilis and related genes in other bacteria. The function of this family is unclear although it has been suggested that it may function to switch on efflux pumps and detoxification systems in response to harmful environmental molecules. Nelson showed that this riboswitch senses and responds to guanidine and it was renamed Guanidine-I riboswitch. Lineage: Bacteria; Pseudomonadati; Pseudomonadota; Gammaproteobacteria; Pseudomonadales; Marinobacteraceae. The record is from Rfam by way of RNAcentral.
CAUAUGGUCAACUAGGGUUCCGGCCCGUGCCCACGGGUGCCUGGUCCGAGAGUUGACGGCCUUUUCCAAGGCUACACGGCGGGACAAAAGCCCGGGAGGA